RNAcentral lists this unclassified non-coding RNA (148 nucleotides) under uncultured Ascomycota. RNAcentral describes it as "sequence contains ITS2". The record is from RNAcentral. Lineage: Eukaryota; Fungi; Ascomycota.
CAACCAUCAAGCCCCAGGCUUGUGUUGGGGACCUGCGGCUGCUGCAGGCCCUGAAAACUAGUGGCGGGCUCGCUGUCAUCCCGAGCGUAGUAGCAUCUCGCUCAGGGCGUGCUGCGGGUUCCGGCCGUUAAAGGAUGAUUAUACCAAA